GAUGCAGAAGACUAUAUUAGUGAUGGAUUUGACAUUUAAAAGGGAAUCUGGUGAGAAUCCAGGGCAGCCUAUUCUACUGUAAGAUGGACGAAGCUUCAACGGAGUCACUGGUAUUUAUAUCUGCAACAGAACAGCAGUAAUAUAAGCCGGGAAGAGGAAAGCAGAGGAUGAAAUCAAGCCAGGAAACCUGCUAUAUAGGAAUUGGGAUU
RNAcentral lists this non-coding RNA (209 nucleotides) under Dorea formicigenerans. Lineage: Bacteria; Bacillati; Bacillota; Clostridia; Lachnospirales; Lachnospiraceae. The record is from RNAcentral.